UACUAUUAGGAUUUUUGUUUUAAGUACUUGAGUAUUAGGAUAGUUAUUUCUGAAACUUAAAGAAUUUGGCGGUAGUCUGACCUUUUAGAGGAAUCUGUUCCUUAAUCGAUAUUACACGAUUGUUUGUACUUGAUUUUAGUUUAUAUACCGUCGUCAUCAGAUUAUAUUUAAUAGUAGUUUUCGUUCUUCUUUAUUAGGGUUUAUGUCAGAUCAAGGUGUAGCUUAUAAUCAAGUGGAAAUGGAUUACAAUGGAGGUAUCUAUACGGAUUUUAAUAUGAAAAUUUAAUUGAAGGUGGAUUUAAUAGUAAAGUGAUAUGGACUUGACUUGGGAAUUGAUUAUGUACACAUCGCCCGUCACUCUCAUUAUUUAAUAUGAG
RNAcentral lists this ribosomal RNA (377 nucleotides) under Myrmecophilus americanus. RNAcentral describes it as "partial 12S ribosomal RNA". Lineage: Eukaryota; Metazoa; Arthropoda; Insecta; Orthoptera; Myrmecophilidae. The record is from RNAcentral.